Molecule: ribosomal RNA, 806 nt
Filed under: Cellulomonas sp.
Lineage: Bacteria; Bacillati; Actinomycetota; Actinomycetes; Micrococcales; Cellulomonadaceae
Description: bacterial SSU rRNA
Rfam family: Bacterial small subunit ribosomal RNA
Source: RNAcentral
CGGUGAAGCCCAGCUUGCUGGGUGGAUCAGUGGCGAACGGGUGAGUAACACGUGAGUAACCUGCCCCUGACUCUGGGAUAAGCCUUGGAAACGAGGUCUAAUACCGGAUAUGUGACGUUCAGGCAUCUGAUGCGUCUGGAAAGAUUUAUCGGUCAGGGAUGGACUCGCGGCCUAUCAGCUUGUUGGUGGGGUAACGGCCCACCAAGGCGACGACGGGUAGCCGGCCUGAGAGGGCGACCGGCCACACUGGGACUGAGACACGGCCCAGACUCCUACGGGAGGCAGCAGUGGGGAAUAUUGCACAAUGGGCGCAAGCCUGAUGCAGCGACGCCGCGUGAGGGAUGAAGGCCUUCGGGUUGUAAACCUCUUUCAGCAGGGAAGAAGCGCAAGUGACGGUACCUGCAGAAGAAGCGCCGGCUAACUACGUGCCAGCAGCCGCGGUAAUACGUAGGGCGCAAGCGUUGUCCGGAAUUAUUGGGCGUAAAGAGCUCGUAGGCGGUCUGUCGCGUCUGCUGUGAAAACUCGAGGCUCAACCUCGGGCUUGCAGUGGGUACGGGCAGACUAGAGUGCGGUAGGGGAGACUGGAAUUCCUGGUGUAGCGGUGGAAUGCGCAGAUAUCAGGAGGAACACCGAUGGCGAAGGCAGGUCUCUGGGCCGCAACUGACGCUGAGGAGCGAAAGCAUGGGGAGCGAACAGGAUUAGAUACCCUGGUAGUCCAUGCCGUAAACGUUGGGCACUAGGUGUGGGGCUCAUUCCACGAGUUCCGUGCCGCAGCAAACGCAUUAAGUGCCCCGCCUGGGGAGUAC